This 561-nucleotide ribosomal RNA is filed under the name Cercospora capsicigena. Its description in RNAcentral is "eukaryotic LSU rRNA". The stretch from base 201 to 354 matches the Rfam family "5.8S ribosomal RNA". Lineage: Eukaryota; Fungi; Ascomycota; Dothideomycetes; Mycosphaerellales; Mycosphaerellaceae. RNAcentral also lists the same sequence under 1 other name. The record is from RNAcentral.
GGAAGUAAAAGUCGUAACAAGGUCUCCGUAGGUGAACCUGCGGAGGGAUCAUUACUGAGUGAGGGCCUUCGGGCUCGACCUCCAACCCUUUGUGAACACAACUUGUUGCUUCGGGGGCGACCCUGCCGUUUCGACGGCGAGCGCCCCCGGAGGCCUUCAAACACUGCAUCUUUGCGUCGGAGUUUAAGUAAAUUAAACAAAACUUUCAACAACGGAUCUCUUGGUUCUGGCAUCGAUGAAGAACGCAGCGAAAUGCGAUAAGUAAUGUGAAUUGCAGAAUUCAGUGAAUCAUCGAAUCUUUGAACGCACAUUGCGCCCCUUGGUAUUCCGAGGGGCAUGCCUGUUCGAGCGUCAUUUCACCACUCAAGCCUCGCUUGGUAUUGGGCGCCGCGGUGUUCCGCGCGCCUCAAAGUCUCCGGCUGAGCUGUCCGUCUCUAAGCGUUGUGAUUUCAUUAAUCGCUUCGGAGCGCGGGCGGUCGCGGCCGUUAAAUCUUUUAUAAGGUUGACCUCGGAUCAGGUAGGGAUACCCGCUGAACUUAAGCAUAUCAAUAAGCGGAGGAG